UACGUAGGGUGCAAGCGUUGUCCGGAAUCAUUGGGCGUAAAGCGCGCGUAGGUGGUCAUGUAAGUCCGCUGUGAAAGUCAAAGGCUCAACCUUUGAAAGCCGGUGGAUACUGCAUGACUAGAGUACGGAAGAGGCGAGUGGAAUUCCUGGUGUAGCGGUGGAAUGCGCAGAUAUCAGGAGGAACACCGGUGGCGAAGGCGGCAUCCUGGACCGGCAUUGACGCUGAGGCGCGAAAGCCAGGGGAGCAAACGGG
RNAcentral lists this ribosomal RNA (253 nucleotides) under uncultured bacterium. RNAcentral describes it as "partial 16S ribosomal RNA". It matches the Rfam family "Bacterial small subunit ribosomal RNA", at positions 524 to 776 of the family's 1533-position model. The record is from RNAcentral.